This 505-nucleotide ribosomal RNA is filed under the name uncultured bacterium. Its description in RNAcentral is "bacterial SSU rRNA". It matches the Rfam family "Bacterial small subunit ribosomal RNA", at positions 28 to 526 of the family's 1533-position model. The record is from RNAcentral.
GAUGAACGCUAGCGGCAGGCCUAACACAUGCAAGUCGAACGGUAACAGAAAAAGCUUGCUUUUUGCUGACGAGUGGCGAACGGGUGCGUAACGCGUAUGCAACCUACCUUUUUCUAAGGAAUAGCCCAGAGAAAUUUGGAUUAAUACCUUAUAAUAAUAUUCAUUCGCAUGUUUGAAUAUUUAAAGCUUUUGCGGAAAAAGAUGGGCAUGCGUGACAUUAGUUUGUUGGUGAGGUAACGGCUCACCAAGACUACGAUGUCUAGGGGUUCUGAGAGGAUGAUCCCCCACACUGGUACUGAGACACGGACCAGACUCCUACGGGAGGCAGCAGUGAGGAAUAUUGGUCAAUGGACGAAAGUCUGAACCAGCCAUGCCGCGUGAAGGAUGACGGCCCUACGGGUUGUAAACUUCUUUUGUAUAGGAAGAAACCCCCCUACGUGUAGGGGGCUGACGGUACUAUACGAAUAAGCACCGGCUAACUCCGUGCCAGCCGCCGCCGUAACAC